This 431-nucleotide ribosomal RNA is filed under the name uncultured bacterium. Its description in RNAcentral is "bacterial SSU rRNA". It matches the Rfam family "Bacterial small subunit ribosomal RNA", at positions 958 to 1392 of the family's 1533-position model. The record is from RNAcentral.
AACGCGAAGAACCUUACCUGGCCUUGACAUGUCCGGAAUCCUGCUGAGAGGUGGGAGUGCUCGAAAGAGAACCGGCGCACAGGUGCUGCAUGGCUGUCGUCAGCUCGUGUCGUGAGAUGUUGGGUUGAGUCCCGCAACGAGCGCAACCCUUGUCCUUAGUUGCUACGCAAGAGCACUCUAAGGAGACUGUCGGUGACAAACCGGAGGAAGGUGGGGAUGACGUCAAGUCCUCAUGGCCCUUAUGGGUAGGGCUUCACACGUCAUACAAUGGUCGGUACAGAGGGUUGCCAAGCCGCGAGGUGGAGCCAAUCCCAGAAAGCCGAUCGUAGUCCGGAUUGGAGUCUGCAACUCGACUUCGUGAAGUCGGAAUCGCUAGUAAUCGCGGAUCAGCUAUGCCGCGGUGAAUACGUUCCCGGGUCUUGUACACACCG